UACGUAGGGGGCAAGCGUUGUCCGGAUUUAUUGGGCGUAAAGAGCGUGUAGGCGGUUUGGUAGGUCCGCUGUGAAAACUUGAGGCUCAACCUCAAGCUGUCGGUGGAAACCCCUUGGCUAGAGUCCGGAAGAGGAGAGUGGAAUUCCUGGUGUAGCGGUGAAAUGCGCAGAUAUCAGGAAGAACACCAAUGGCGAAGGCAGCUCUCUGGGACGGUACUGACACUGAGACGCGAAAGCGUGGGGAGCGAACAGG
Molecule: ribosomal RNA, 253 nt
Filed under: uncultured bacterium
Lineage: Bacteria
Description: partial 16S ribosomal RNA
Rfam family: Bacterial small subunit ribosomal RNA
Source: RNAcentral